UGCCUCAGCAACAAAAUAGGUUGUCAUCUU
Molecule: non-coding RNA, 30 nt
Filed under: Mus musculus (house mouse)
Lineage: Eukaryota; Metazoa; Chordata; Mammalia; Rodentia; Muridae
Source: RNAcentral